RNAcentral lists this ribosomal RNA (252 nucleotides) under uncultured bacterium. RNAcentral's name for it is "partial 16S ribosomal RNA". It matches the Rfam family "Bacterial small subunit ribosomal RNA", at positions 524 to 775 of the family's 1533-position model. The record is from RNAcentral.
UACAGAGGGUGCAAGCGUUAAUCGGAAUUACUGGGCGUAAAGCGCGCGUAGGUGGUUUGUUAAGUUGGAUGUGAAAUCCCCGGGCUCAACCUGGGAACUGCAUUCAAAACUGACAAGCUAGAGUAUGGUAGAGGGUGGUGGAAUUUCCUGUGUAGCGGUGAAAUGCGUAGAUAUAGGAAGGAACACCAGUGGCGAAGGCGACCACCUGGACUGAUACUGACACUGAGGUGCGAAAGCGUGGGGAGCAACAGG